Molecule: unclassified non-coding RNA, 320 nt
Filed under: fungal sp.
Lineage: Eukaryota; Fungi
Description: partial internal transcribed spacer region
Rfam family: Eukaryotic small subunit ribosomal RNA (bases 1-46)
Source: RNAcentral
AAGUCGUAACAAGGUUUCCGUAGGUGAACCUGCGGAAGGAUCAUUAACACGUAUCCAAACGUUAAAACAACCCUGUGAACCUUCAGCGUGUUCUUGCAGGACAUCAAAACAGCAAUCCCGAGUAAAUCAGGCGCUAAAGAAUUACAGAUUUUGAUUUUGGGAAGUUCUGUGUGUACGUGGACGCUGCAAUUGAGCGCUAGAUAAAGCACCCUGGUACCCUAGAGCACUCCCCUGUCUGAAAGCGUGUACCCUCCGGGACUUGGCGAAAGCUGACUCCGUCAUAAAUCGAACAACUGUUAACAAUGGAUAUCUUGGUUCUC